GGCUUGGUGGUCUAGUAGUAUGAUUCCUUCUUAGGGUGGCAUCCUAUAUGGAAGCCAUGAGAUGGAGGAGGUCCCGGGUUCAAUUCCCGGCCAAGCCC
This is a non-coding RNA of Thelephora terrestris, 98 nucleotides long. The record is from the annotation of a GenBank genome assembly. Lineage: Eukaryota; Fungi; Basidiomycota; Agaricomycetes; Thelephorales; Thelephoraceae.